AUUGAACGCUGGCGGCAGGCCUAACACAUGCAAGUCGAGCGGUAACAUUUCUAGCUUGCUAGAAGAUGACGAGCGGCGGACGGGUGAGUAAUGGCUGGGAACCUGCCCUAACGAGGGGGAUAACAGUUGGAAACGACUGCUAAUACCGCAUAAUGUCUUCGGACCAAAGGAGGGGAUCUUCGGACCUUUCGCGUUAGGAUGGGCCCAGUUGGAUUAGCUUGUUGGUGAGGUAAUGGCUCACCAAGGCGACGAUCCCUAGCUGGUUUGAGAGGAUGAUCAGCCACACUGGAACUGAGACACGGUCCAGACUCCUACGGGAGGCAGCAGUGGGGAAUAUUGCACAAUGGGCGAAAGCCUGAUGCAGCCAUGCCGCGUGUGUGAAGAAGGCCUUCGGGUUGUAAAGCACUUUCAGCAGUGAGGAAGGCAUAACAGUUAAUACCUGUUGUGUUUGACGUUAGCUGCAGAAGAAGCACCGGCUAACUCCGUGCCAGCAGCCGCGGUAAUACGGAGGGUGCGAGCGUUAAUCGGAAUUACUGGGCGUAAAGCGCAUGCAGGCGGUUUGUUAAGCAAGAUGUGAAAGCCCGGGGCUUAACCUCGGAAUAGCAUUUUGAACUGGCAAGCUAGAGUCCUGUAGAGAGGA
Molecule: ribosomal RNA, 640 nt
Filed under: uncultured Vibrionaceae bacterium
Lineage: Bacteria; Pseudomonadati; Pseudomonadota; Gammaproteobacteria; Vibrionales; Vibrionaceae
Description: bacterial SSU rRNA
Rfam family: Bacterial small subunit ribosomal RNA
Source: RNAcentral